UUGUUAUCAGCAGCACAUAUACUAAAAUUGGCACCAUACCGAGAUUAGCAUGGCCCCUGCACAAGGAUGACAUGCAAAUUCAUGAAGAGUUUUGUAUUGCA
This 101-nucleotide small nuclear RNA is filed under the name Vombatus ursinus (common wombat). Lineage: Eukaryota; Metazoa; Chordata; Mammalia; Diprotodontia; Vombatidae. The record is from RNAcentral.